This 512-nucleotide ribosomal RNA is filed under the name Sinogomphus flavolimbatus. RNAcentral describes it as "partial 16S rRNA". It matches the Rfam family "Bacterial large subunit ribosomal RNA", at positions 1830 to 2597 of the family's 2925-position model. The record is from RNAcentral. Lineage: Eukaryota; Metazoa; Arthropoda; Insecta; Odonata; Gomphidae.
GUCCUCUUGAUUAUAUAUGAGGUCUAACCUGCCCGGUGAAUAUUUAUUUUAACGGCCGCGGUAUUUUGACCGUGCAAAGGUAGCAUAAUCAUUAGUCUUUUAAUAGGAGGCUGGUAUGAAGGGUUUGACGAGGUAUUAGCUGUCUCAUUUAAUUUAAAAUUAAAAUUUAACUUUUCAGUUAAAAGGCUGAAAUUAUAUUGGAAGACGAGAAGACCCUAUAGAGCUUUAUUAUUAAAUUUUUUAUUGUUCAUUGCAUAUAGUUAAUUUUAAUUAUUUUAAUAAUUUUGUUGGGGUGACAAAAAUAUAUAUUUAACUUUUUUAUUUAUUAAACAUUGAUUUAUGGUUUUUAGAUCCAGUCUUAUUGAUUGUUAGAUUAAGUUACCUUAGGGAUAACAGCGUAAUCUUCCUUCAGAGUUCAUAUUUACAGGAAGGCUUGCGACCUCGAUGUUGGAUUAAGAUAAUAGUUAGGUGUAGCCGCUUAAUUUAUAGGUCUGUUCGACCUUUAAAUUCUU